This 240-nucleotide unclassified non-coding RNA is filed under the name soil metagenome. RNAcentral's name for it is "partial contains 5.8S ribosomal RNA, internal transcribed spacer 2, and large subunit ribosomal RNA". The record is from RNAcentral.
AACCAUAGAAACCUGCGGAGUACCUGCGGAGGGAUCAUUACAGAGUUGCAAAACUCCCUAAACCAUUGUGAACGUUACCUAAACCGUUGCUUCGGCGGGCGGCCCGGGUCCUUCCCGGCGCCCCUCGGCCCUCGCGGGCGCCCGCCGGAGGUAAACCAAACUACUGCAUUGUAUGGCCUCUCUGAGUCUUCUGUACUGAAUAAGUCAAAACUUUCAACAAUGGAUCUCAGAUCGGAAGAG